AUUCAGUGAAUCAUCGAAUCUUUGAACGCACCUUGCGCUCC
This 41-nucleotide ribosomal RNA is filed under the name Trametes versicolor. RNAcentral's name for it is "partial 5.8S ribosomal RNA". The record is from RNAcentral. Lineage: Eukaryota; Fungi; Basidiomycota; Agaricomycetes; Polyporales; Polyporaceae.